UGCCAGCAGCCGCGGUAAUACGGAGGAUCCAAGCGUUGUCCGGAUUUAUUGGGUUUAAAGGGUGCGUAGGCGGACUAAUAAGUCAGUGGUGAAAGCCUGUAGCUUAACUACAGAAUUGCCAUUGAAACUGUUAGUCUUGAGUUUGGUCGAGGUGGAUGGAAUGUAUCAUGUAGCGGUGAAAUGCUUAGAUAUGAUACAGAACACCGAUUGCGAAGGCAGUUCACUAGGCCAAUACUGACGCUGAGGCACGAAAGCAUGGGGAUCGAACAGGAUUAGAUA
Molecule: ribosomal RNA, 279 nt
Filed under: uncultured bacterium
Lineage: Bacteria
Description: partial 16S ribosomal RNA
Rfam family: Bacterial small subunit ribosomal RNA
Source: RNAcentral